Molecule: long non-coding RNA, 150 nt
Organism: Sander lucioperca (pikeperch)
Lineage: Eukaryota; Metazoa; Chordata; Actinopteri; Perciformes; Percidae
Exons: 3
Source: RefSeq, a predicted model, not a curated record
ACGGUCAAAGAUAUUUUACUUUUUCAAUGAAAUAAAAGCACGUCAAUAAACUAUACAUGCCUGGCCCUUUAUGUGAUUGUUAUUUUCCAGUGUGGCCCUUAGUGAAAAUGAGUUUGACACCCCUGCUUGAGGAAAAUAAAGGUAAUCGAA